GUGCUUGCUUCGGCAGCACAUAUACUAAAAUUGGAACAAUACAGAGAAGGUUAGCAUGGCCCCUGCGCAAGGAUGACACACAAAUUCGUGAAGCGCUACAUUUUUAU
RNAcentral lists this small nuclear RNA (107 nucleotides) under Podarcis muralis (Common wall lizard). The record is from RNAcentral. Lineage: Eukaryota; Metazoa; Chordata; Lepidosauria; Squamata; Lacertidae.